AUCUGCGUAGAUUGGGACCACAGAAUCGUAUAUCCCUGAGCUUCUGCCGUCAAGGUGGGGGACUGGCUUACCCUUACGCUAAAACAGCUCUCUAGCCCAAAAGUUCCUGCCUGUUUUAUCUUCAUGGAAUUGUUGGUGCUGGUCCAGUCCAGCCCCAAGAUAAACCUCUGAGGUUUAAUGCCAGUUGGGAGAGCAGGACAGCGGCAAAUUCCAAGGGAAGCCCAGGGUUAUCACAAGCCCUGUGGCCACAUUAUGUCACAUUGCCAACUUCAACAGAGCUUGACCUCAGGCUGAACUCCGCUUUGCCAGGCUGCAGAGAAUGAAGCCGAGCAGCUCUAUCAAGCAUAGACCUUCCCAGCCAAGCAGGAGCCACCUAAACAAACCUAUCGCCUGUUCCCAAGAGAACUUCCUGAUUGUUUAUAAAUAAGCUCAAAAUGGUCAACAGGAUAUGGAUCUGCUAAGAUCAGAGAAGAGGCUUUCGCUUUACGAUGAUACACUAGCAUUCUCUUAUCAUGGCCAAAUUCUACAGCGGUCACAGGAUGUGCUAAUUUGUGCCUUAUAACUCUGAGGAAGCCAACAGCCAUGUUGCUUCCCCACAUGGCAAGAAACUGCAGCUCACCACUGGAGCGGAGGGCAAUUUCUGGCCAGCAGCCACCAGGAAACAGAAUUCCUCAGUAUUACAGUCACAAAGAACUGAAAUCUGCCAACAAAUGCAUGAUUUUGGAAGCAUAUACCUCCCCAGAUGAGAACCUAUUCCUGGCCAACAGCUUGAUUACAGAGGCCAGCUAAACCAUGCCCAGGCUCCUGAUCCACCGGCAUUGAAAGAUAAUAUGUGUGUGUGUUGUGUUCUAAGUUGCUAAGUUUGUGGUAAUGUUACGUUGCAUAAGAUGACUGAUACAGCUUUUGGUAAUGGAAGCAGAGUGUCAAUUUAACAAAUGUCUAAACAUGGGGCAGUGGCUUUGGAGUGGCAGUGGCUGGAGGAAUUUGGAAGGGCACGGCCGAGAAAGCUUAAAUCGUUCUGGACAGACUGUUAAUAGAAAUCUGGACAUUAAGGAUGUGCCAGUGAGGACUGAAAAGGAAGUGAGGAACAUGUUAGAAACUGGAAGAAGGAGGACCCUGGUUAGAUAGUGACAGAGAGCUUAGCACAGCCGUCUUCUGAAAUUCUGUGGAAAGUGGAACUUGCAAGUGAUGAACUCAGUUAUCUAAGGAUACUUCCAGGCAAAGUGAAGAUGCUACUUGGUUUCUUCUUGCUACUUAGAAUAAAGUGUGUGAAAAGAGA
Leopardus geoffroyi (Geoffroy's cat) is the source of this 1279-nucleotide long non-coding RNA. RefSeq lists it as uncharacterized. The record is from RefSeq and is a predicted model, not a curated record. The transcript is spliced from 3 exons. NCBI's taxonomy places the organism in Eukaryota, Metazoa, Chordata, Mammalia, Carnivora, Felidae.